ACAGUGAACACCUUUGAGAAAAACCACUGGAACUAUUAAUAAUAGCUGAAAAUAUGAGUUCGAAAGAAAUUGUGCAUAAUAAAUUGGCAAAGAGAAAUAAAUAUCUAAUUAAUUGCGGACUUAUACGCAACGAAGCAUAUGACGAAUAUUUGAAAACAGGUUCGUCGUAUGACAAUUUGAAGCAAGCAUUUUAUAUCGCAGUGCAAUUAUCAAAGCAUGACGGCGACUUUGCACAAGAAGAAUUAGAAAAAUACGAACACUUGGUCAAACAUUUCGAUAAACAACUCCUACAUCAUCUUAAAGAAAGAAACUAUGAAGUAAAAGAAUUGAAAUUCAAUGGUGACGAAAACGACCAAUUUCGUGACAGAGUUCUUAAAAUAGAGGCCGAAGGACUUUCACGUUAUAGGAAAUAUUACACUUUCGUUGACGACCAACAAGAGUUUAAUGAAGCUAUUUCAUUGCUUUACAACGAAAUAUAUCUGGCACUCCGAGAUGGACUCAUAACUGAUAUAGAUUAUAAAAUACGCUGCGAGUCAACAAAAAAUAUCGAAAAUGACUUUGAAGCACGAUUUACAAACGAACGUUUUAGCAAUAACAAUUUCGCAGAGGAUGGUAAUAGUCGGGACAGCUAUAGACGAAGUUCGGGAAAUAAGGUACGGGGUAGGGGAAGAAAUGGUUUUGGAUGGAGAAAAAAUCAUUUUGGUAGCGCCAGCAAGGGGUAGAGAAAUGGGCGUUAUCGAGGAAGCAAUGAUCGUGAUCGAGGAAGCAAUGGUCGUGAUCGAGGAAGCAAUGGUCGUGAUCGAGGAAGCAAUGGUCGUGAUCGAGGAAGCAAUGGUCGUGAUCGAGAAAGCAAUGGUCGUAUUCGGACAAGCAGCUGGUAACUGAAGUUGUACUUAUCAAGUAUGAGGAUGGUAAUAGUCGGGACAGCUAUAGACGAAGUUCGGGAAAUAAGGUACGGGGUAGGGGAAGAAAUGGUUUUGGAUGGAGAAAAAAUCAUUUUGGUAGCGACAGCAAGGGGUCAAGAAAUGGGCGUUAUCGAGGAAGCAAUGAUCGUGAUCGAGGAAGCAAUGGUCGUGAUCGAGGAAGCAAUGGUCGUGAUCGAGGAAGCAAUGGUCGUGAUCGAGGAAGCAAUGGUCGUGAUCGAGGAAGCAAUGGUCGUGAUCGAGAAAGCAAUGGUCGUAUUCGGACAAGCAGCUGGUAACUAAAGUUGUGCUUAUCAAGUAUGAGGAUGGUAAUAGUCGGGACAGCUAUAGACGAAGUUCGGGAAAUAAGGUACGGGGUAGGGGAAGAAAUGGUUUUGGAUGGAGAAAAAAUCAUUUUGGUAGCGACAGCAAGAGGUCAAGAAAUGGGCGUUAUCGAGGAAGCAAUGAUCGUGAUCGAGGAAGCAAUGGUCGUGAUCGAGGAAGCAAUGGUCGUGAUCGAGACAAUAAUGGUCGUAUUCGGACAAGCAGCUGGUAACUGAAGUUGUACUUAUCAAGUAUUCGGUCGUAUUCGUACAAAUAAUAUAAAUCAUCUUGAAAAAUUAUAAAAUUUAGUGAUAAAUCCGUUAAUCCUGUUCAUCGUUUCUGUUCAUUAAUAAAAAUUAAA
Molecule: long non-coding RNA, 1587 nt
Organism: Bradysia coprophila
Lineage: Eukaryota; Metazoa; Arthropoda; Insecta; Diptera; Sciaridae
Source: RefSeq, a predicted model, not a curated record